UUCUUCUUCCACUUGUCUUCACAGUUUGGUAGCAUUCUAGAAGCAGAGCCUACCUCCUAUCAGCAGGCUGCCUCUAUUCCUGCCUGGCAGGAGGCAAUGACCAAGGAAUUUGCAGCCUUGGAGGCCAAUCAUACCUGGUCAAUAGUUCACCUUUCCCCUGGUAAAAGACAUAUUUGUUGCAAAUGGGUCUAUAAGAUCAAAUAUAGGGCUGAUAGGUCUGUGGAAAGACAUAAGGCUAGGCUGGUUGUUAGGGGUGACACCCAAGUUGAGGGUGUAGACUUCACUAAGACUUUUUCUCCUGUUGUCAAGUUUUCAACUAUCAAAUCCCUCAUUGUUGUGGCUGUUAAACAAAAUUGGUCCCUCUUUCAACUUGAUGUGAAUAAUGCUCUUACAUGGUGACUUAGCUGAGGAAGUUUAUAUGAAAUUGCCUCCUGGACUGGAUGUUACCUGUUCUACCUCUUCUUCUCCUUUGGUCUGUUUGCUUCAGAAAUCUUUGUAUGGGUUAAGGCAGGCUUCCAGGCAGUGGUAUGCCAAGUUCUCCCAGGCCUUAUGUUCUUCUCUCAAUGACUAUUCUCUUUUUCUUAAGAAAUCUGGCUCUUCUACUAUCUUAUUGGCUGUCUAUUUUGAUGACAUUAUUCUCACUGGUAAUGAUUUGGAGGAAAUCACUGCUUUGAAGAGCUUUCUGGAUCAUGAGUUUAAAAUCAAGGAUUUGGGGGUACUCAACUACUUUUUUGGUAUUGAGGUCAGUUAUCAUUCUGCGAGCUUUCCGGAUCAUGAGUUUAAAAUAAAGGAUUUGGGGGUGCUCAACUACUUUCUUGGCAUUGAGGUCAGUUAUCACUCUGAUGGGCUCCUUCUCCACCAGAAAAAGUUUAUCACUGACCUGCUCAAAGCUUAUCACUGUGAGGAUGUUUCUCCUGUUACUUGCCCUCUUGACCUCUCUGUUAAACUCAAACUGGAUUUAGGGGAUCCUCUUCCCUCUCCUGAAUCCUAUAGGUGCUUAGUGAUGAAACUUAAUUUUCUCACCCACACUAGACCUGACUUAGCCUUUGUUGUCCAGCAUUUAAGUCAAUAUCUUUAGAAGCCUACCUCCUCACAUAUGCAUGCAGCUUUGCACACCCUGAGAUAUCUCAGAGGCACUUCUGACCUUGGCAUUUUUCUCAGCAACACACCUGACCUCUCCUUAUCUGCUUACUGCGAUAGUGACUGGGCAUCCUACCCAGACACCAGAAGAUCUGU
Molecule: long non-coding RNA, 1236 nt
Filed under: Nicotiana benthamiana
Lineage: Eukaryota; Viridiplantae; Streptophyta; Magnoliopsida; Solanales; Solanaceae
Description: long non-coding RNA (NBEN_LNC004595)
Source: RNAcentral